UGACUGAUCAAUGAGAGAGUAUAAAGGCCUCGUCGCGGCUGCCAGCCAGAGCAGCACUGCAGGGCCAUCCCGGCUUCAGAGCUCCCCCGCGUGGUCAGUUAAGGCUGUGCCUGGCCUAUGUUUCUUCUGUCUGUCUCCCUCUGCCCACUCUGGCUCCAUUCCCCUCCCUCCCACAGAGGGUGAGGCCAAGGGCCCUCCAUAAUAAACAUGCUUCAUGCUCAGUUCCAUCUCAGAGUCAGCUUCCUGGGAAAGGCACACGUUGACCCUUGAAAGAUGAGCAGCAGCCAGCCAUACCAAGAGGCCAGGGAAGCCGUCCAGACUGGGAGGACACCAAGCCCCAAAGCACUGAGGUUUGAGCGAGCUGGCAUAGUCAAGGUCCAGAGAAGUGGUUGGUCUGCUUGGGACGUGAACUACACCUAAAAUCAUGAGUCGGCCAUCCAGGAAGCAGAAAGAAGAUAUUAUAGACGUUGGAAUGUUUCAAAGUCACGUUAAUUAUGGGAAAAAAAAAACUGAAGCAGCUCCCAGCAGAAUAUACACAGAAAGGACAAACCUAAAACCUCCUUCAAUUGCAGUAAAAAGGCGAGAACCAAGAAAUUACCAUA
This is a non-coding RNA of Equus caballus (horse), 602 nucleotides long. The record is from RefSeq and is a predicted model, not a curated record. NCBI's taxonomy places the organism in Eukaryota, Metazoa, Chordata, Mammalia, Perissodactyla, Equidae.